Molecule: ribosomal RNA, 459 nt
Filed under: uncultured bacterium
Lineage: Bacteria
Description: partial 16S ribosomal RNA
Rfam family: Bacterial small subunit ribosomal RNA
Source: RNAcentral
CCUACGGGAGACAGCAGUGAGGAAUAUUGGUCAAUGGACGAGAGUCUGAACCAGCCAAGUAGCGUGAAGGAUGACUGCCCUAUGGGUUGUAAACUUCUUUUAUAUGGGAAUAAAAUGUUCCACGUGUGGGAUUUUGUAUGUACCAUAUGAAUAAGGAUCGGCUAACUCCGUGCCAGCAGCCGCGGUAAUACGGAGGAUCCGAGCGUUAUCCGGAUUUAUGGGGUUUAAGGGGAGCGUAGGUGGAUUGUUAAGUCAGUUGUGAAAGUUUGCGGCUCAACCCCGGCGAGCCGUUGAAACUGACUGUCUUGAGAUGUCGAGAGGUAUGCGGAAUGCGCAGUGUAGCGGUGAAAUGCUUAGAUAUUGCGCAGAACUCCGAUUGCGAAGGCAGCAUACCGGCGGCGAUCUGACGCUGAGGCACGAAAGCGUGGGUAUCGAACAGGAUUAGAUACCCCUGUAGUC